UGGGGAAUAUUGCACAAUGGGCGCAAGCCUGAUGCAGCAACGCCGCGUGAGGGACGACGGCCUCCGGGUUGUAAACCUCUUUUGGCAGGGAAGAAGCGAAAGUGACGGUACCUGCAGAAAAAGCACCGGCUAACUCCGUGCCAGCAGCCGCGGUAAUACGGAGGGUGCGAGCGUUAUCCGGAUUUACUGGGUUUAAAGGGUGCGUAGGUGGGCUUAUAAGUCAGUGGUGAAAUCUCCGAGCUUAACUUGGAAACUGCCGUUGAUACUAUAGGGCUUGAAUUAUCUGGAGGUAAGCGGAAUAUGUCAUGUAGCGGUGAAAUGCUUAGAUAUGACAUAGAACACCAAUUACGAAGGCAGCUUACUACAUAUAAAUUGACGCUGAGGCACGAAAGCGUGGGGAUCAAACA
Molecule: ribosomal RNA, 407 nt
Filed under: uncultured bacterium
Lineage: Bacteria
Description: bacterial SSU rRNA
Rfam family: Bacterial small subunit ribosomal RNA
Source: RNAcentral